CAUCUCCAGUGAUUUUGGAGCCCCAAAAAAGAAAGCCUGACACUGUUUCCACUGUUUCCCCAUCUAUUUCCCAUGAAGUGAUGGGACCAGAUGCCAUGAUCUUCGUUUUCUGAAUGUUGAGCUUUAAGCCAACUUUUUCACUCUCCACUUUCAAAACCAUAGCUUUAACUAUACGGGCCUUUGUUGGCAAAGUAAUGUCUCUGCUUUUUAAUAUGCUAUUUAGAUUGCUCAUAGCUUUUCUUCCAAAAACUUAGGUUGCUUAAUUUAAAAUGUGAAUUCUUAGGUUUCACUAACAAAGAUGCUGAAAGAGUGGGUUGUGGUGCUGCCUCUGUAAUAUUAUAUUUUUUAAAGGUUUUUCUUUUAAUGGGGACCUUUUAAAAAAUCUUUUUUGAAUUUGUUCCAAUACUGAUUCCAUUUUAUGUAUUGGUUUUUUUUUUGGCCUCAAGGCUUGUUGGAUCUGAGCUCCCCUCCUAGAAACUGACCCUACAACCUCUGUACUUGGAAAUGAAGUCUUAAACACUGGACUACUGGAGAAGUCCCUAUAAUAUCUCUUUUAAAAAAGCACAAGGUGAAUAUCUGGUAGAUUUUCUUUAUCCUAUAUUUUGUGAAACAGUUGGAGAAUGGAAUUUUUUGGUGCGCAGGUCUUUGAGAAAUCAGUUCUAUUUGUUUUUCACAGAAUCAUUCAAUUGGCCUAUUAUUCUGAAUUGUUUCCAUCAUUGUUAGUCCAACCUUCCACAAUUCCAAUAUCCCAAGGAGUUCAAGAUGCUCUCAACUUAAGAAAUAAGCCAAGAACAGCUGAAGUUCAGACUUAUGUGACCUUGAACCUGGAUAGAGGUUGAGUAAAUC
Molecule: long non-coding RNA, 846 nt
Filed under: Bos indicus x Bos taurus (hybrid cattle)
Lineage: Eukaryota; Metazoa; Chordata; Mammalia; Artiodactyla; Bovidae
Description: lncRNA (ENSBIXG00005006686.1)
Source: RNAcentral